This 1483-nucleotide ribosomal RNA is filed under the name uncultured Pedobacter sp. Its description in RNAcentral is "bacterial SSU rRNA". It matches the Rfam family "Bacterial small subunit ribosomal RNA". The record is from RNAcentral. Lineage: Bacteria; Pseudomonadati; Bacteroidota; Sphingobacteriia; Sphingobacteriales; Sphingobacteriaceae.
AGAGUUUGAUCCUGGCUCAGGAUGAACGCUAGCGGCAGGCCUAAUACAUGCAAGUCGAACGAGAUUAAGAGGCUUGCUUCUUAUGAAAGUGGCGCACGGGUGCGUAACGCGUAUGCAACCUACCUUAAUCAGGGGGAUAGCCCGAAGAAAUUCGGAUUAAGACCGCAUAAAAACACAGGAUAGCAUUAUCCAAUGUUCAAAUAUUUAUAGGAUUAAGAUGGGCAUGCGUGUCAUUAGCUAGUUGGCGGGGUAACGGCCCACCAAGGCGACGAUGACUAGGGGAUCUGAGAGGAUGACCCCCCACACUGGUACUGAGACACGGACCAGACUCCUACGGGAGGCAGCAGUAAGGAAUAUUGGUCAAUGGAGGGAACUCUGAACCAGCCAUGCCGCGUGCAGGAAGACAGCCCUCUGGGUCGUAAACUGCUUUUAUUCGGGAAUAAACCUUUCUACGUGUAGGAAGCUGAAUGUACCGAAGGAAUAAGGAUCGGCUAACUCCGUGCCAGCAGCCGCGGUAAUACGGAGGAUCCAAGCGUUAUCCGGAUUUAUUGGGUUUAAAGGGUGCGUAGGCGGCUUAUUAAGUCAGGGGUGAAAGACGGUGGCUCAACCAUCGCAGUGCCCUUGAUACUGAUGAGCUUGAAUACACUAGAGGUAGGCGGAAUGUGACAAGUAGCGGUGAAAUGCAUAGAUAUGUCACAGAACACCGAUUGCGAAGGCAGCUUACUAUGGUGUUAUUGACGCUGAGGCACGAAAGCGUGGGGAUCAAACAGGAUUAGAUACCCUGGUAGUCCACGCCCUAAACGAUGAAUACUCGCUGUUAGCGAUAUACAGUUAGCGGCUAAGCGAAAGCGUUAAGUAUUCCACCUGGGGAGUACGCCCGCAAGGGUGAAACUCAAAGGAAUUGACGGGGGCCCGCACAAGCGGAGGAGCAUGUGGUUUAAUUCGAUGAUACGCGAGGAACCUUACCCGGGCUUGAAAGUUAGUGAAUGAUCUAGAGAUAGAUCAGUGAGCAAUCACACGAAACUAGGUGCUGCAUGGUUGUCGUCAGCUCGUGCCGUGAGGUGUUGGGUUAAGUCCCGCAACGAGCGCAACCCCUAUGUUUAGUUGCCAGCACGUUAAGGUGGGGACUCUAAACAGACUGCCUGUGCAAACAGAGAGGAAGGAGGGGACGACGUCAAGUCAUCAUGGCCCUUACGUCCGGGGCUACACACGUGCUACAAUGGAUGGUACAGAGGGCAGCAAGCUGGCAACAGCAAGCGAAUCUCAAAAAGCCAUUCACAGUUCGGAUAGAGGUCUGCAACUCGACCUCUUGAAGUUGGAUUCGCUAGUAAUCGCGUAUCAGCAAUGACGCGGUGAAUACGUUCCCGGGCCCUGUACACACCGCCCGUCAAGCCAUGGAAGUUGGGGGUACCUAAAGUAUGUAACCGUAAGGAGCGUCCUAGGGUAAAACCGAUAACUGGGGCUAAGUCGUAACAAGGUAGCC